Molecule: ribosomal RNA, 474 nt
Filed under: uncultured bacterium
Lineage: Bacteria
Description: bacterial SSU rRNA
Rfam family: Bacterial small subunit ribosomal RNA
Source: RNAcentral
AGGACGAACGCUGGCGGCGUGCCUAACACAUGCAAGUCGAGCGAGGAGAUCCUCGGGAUGAUCCUAGCGGCGGACGGGUGAGUAACACGUGGGCAACCUGCCUCAUAGAGAGGAACAGCCUUCCGAAAGGGAGAUUAAUACCUCAUAACAUUGCAGUUUCGCAUGGAACAGCAAUUAAAGGAGCAAUCCACUAUGAGAUGGGCCCGCGGCGCAUUAGCUAGUUGGUGAGGUAACGGCUCAUCAAGGCGACGAUGCGUAGCCGACCUGAGAGGGUGAUCGGCCACAUUGGGACUGAGACACGGCCCAGACUCCUACGGGAGGCAGCAGUGGGGAAUAUUGCACAAUGGGGGAAACCCUGAUGCAGCCAACGCCGCGUGAGUGAUGACGGCCUUCGGGUUGUAAAGCUCUGUCUUCAGGGACGAUAAUGACGGUACCUGAGGAGGAAGCCACGGCUAACUACGUGCCAGCAGCAGC